CACGUAGGCGGACCAUUAAGUCAGGGGUGAAAGCCUGGAGCUCAACUCCAGAACUGCCUUUGAUACUGAUGGUCUCGAGUUCGGAAGAGGUUGGUGGAACUGCGAGUGUAGAGGUGAAAUUCGUAGAUAUUCGCAAGAACACCAGUGGCGAAGGCGGCCAACUGGUCCGAUACUGACGCUGAGGUGCGAAAGCGUGGGAGCAAACA
This 206-nucleotide ribosomal RNA is filed under the name uncultured bacterium. RNAcentral describes it as "partial 16S ribosomal RNA". It matches the Rfam family "Bacterial small subunit ribosomal RNA", at positions 568 to 774 of the family's 1533-position model. The record is from RNAcentral.